RNAcentral lists this transfer RNA (72 nucleotides) under Camelus bactrianus (Bactrian camel). It matches the Rfam family "tRNA". Rfam says of the family: Transfer RNA (tRNA) molecules are approximately 80 nucleotides in length. Their secondary structure includes four short double-helical elements and three loops (D, anti-codon, and T loops). RNAcentral also lists the same sequence under 2 other names. The record is from Rfam by way of RNAcentral. Lineage: Eukaryota; Metazoa; Chordata; Mammalia; Artiodactyla; Camelidae.
GAGGGUAUAGCUCAGUGGUAGAGUGUGUGCUUAGCAUGCACAGGGUCCUGGGUUCAAUCCCCACUACCUCCA